GAUGAACGCUGGCGGCGUGCUUAACACAUGCAAGUCGAACGAUGAAGCCCAGCUUGCUGGGUGGAUUAGUGGCGAACGGGUGAGUAACACGUGAGUAACCUGCCCUUAACUCUGGGAUAAGCCUGGGAAACUGGGUCUAAUACCGGAUAGGAGCGUCCACCGCAUGGUGGGUGUUGGAAAGAUUUAUCGGUUUUGGAUGGACUCGCGGCCUAUCAGCUUGUUGGUGAGGUAAUGGCUCACCAAGGCGACGACGGGUAGCCGGCCUGAGAGGGUGACCGGCCACACUGGGACUGAGACACGGCCCAGACUCCUACGGGAGGCAGCAGUGGGGAAUAUUGCACAAUGGGCGAAAGCCUGAUGCAGCGACGCCGCGUGAGGGAUGACGGCCUUCGGGUUGUAAACCUCUUUCAGUAGGGAAGAAGCGAAAGUGACGGUACCUGCAGAAGAAGCACCGGCGAACUACGU
Molecule: ribosomal RNA, 465 nt
Filed under: uncultured bacterium
Lineage: Bacteria
Description: partial 16S ribosomal RNA
Rfam family: Bacterial small subunit ribosomal RNA
Source: RNAcentral